CCUCGGCGGGCGGCCCCAGGGCGGGGCCUUCUACGGGUGCCCGCCGACGGCCCCUAUAAACUCUUGUUGUUUGGGCACUCUGAGUAAGAUGAAUCAAAUGAGUCAAAACUUUCAACAACGGAUCUCUUGGUUCUGGCAUCGAUGAAGAACGCAGCGAAAUGCGAUAAGUAAUGUGAAUUGCAGAAUUCCAGUGAAUCAUCGAAUCUUUGAACGCACAUUGCGCCCAUUAGCAUUCUAAUGGGCAUGCCUGUCCGAGCGUCAUUUCAACCACUCAGGCCCCUAUGGCCCUGACGUUGGGGCAUCUGCGGUUGACCGCAGGCCCUGAAAGAUAGUGGCGGUGCCCGCUAGCACUCCGGGCGCAGUACGUUUCCUUCUCGCCCAGGACGUCUAGCGGGCUGCCGGCCGUAAAACAGCCUAAAGAUUAGAAGGUUGACCUCGGAUCAGGUAGGACUACCCGCUGAACUUAAGCAUAUCA
This 475-nucleotide ribosomal RNA is filed under the name uncultured fungus. Its description in RNAcentral is "eukaryotic LSU rRNA". The stretch from base 107 to 261 matches the Rfam family "5.8S ribosomal RNA". The record is from RNAcentral. Lineage: Eukaryota; Fungi.